GAUGAACGCUGGCGGCGUGCCUAAUACAUGCAAGUCGAGCGAACAGACGAGGAGCUUGCUCCUCUGACGUUAGCGGCGGACGGGUGAGUAACACGUGGAUAACCUACCUAUAAGACUGGGAUAACUUCGGGAAACCGGAGCUAAUACCGGAUAAUAUAUUGAACCGCAUGGUUCAAUAGUGAAAGACGGUUUUGCUGUCACUUAUAGAUGGAUCCGCGCCGCAUUAGCUAGUUGGUAAGGUAACGGCUUACCAAGGCAACGAUGCGUAGCCGACCUGAGAGGGUGGUCGGCCACACUGGAACUGAGACACGGUCCAGACUCCUACGGGAGGCAGCAGUAGGGAAUCUUCCGCAAUGGGCGAAAGCUUGACGGAGCAACGCCGCGUGAGUGAUGACGGUCUUCGGAUCGUAAAACUCUGUUAUUGGGGAAAAACAAAUGUGUAAGUAACUAUGCACGUCUUGACGGUACCUAAUCAGAAAGCCACGGCUAACUACGUG
This 497-nucleotide ribosomal RNA is filed under the name uncultured bacterium. RNAcentral describes it as "partial 16S ribosomal RNA". It matches the Rfam family "Bacterial small subunit ribosomal RNA", at positions 28 to 507 of the family's 1533-position model. The record is from RNAcentral.